GCGGGCGUGCCUAAUACAUGCAAGUAGAAACGGACUGAAGGAAGGAAGGCUUGCUCUUUUCCCGGUAUGAGGUUGGCGAACGGGGUAGGAGUAAACGACGUAGGUAACCCGUAGCCCUGGUUAGCCGGGGGAGUAACUAAUUGGAAACGAGUAAGCUAAUACCGCAUAACAGUAGAUAUCGCAUGAUAGCUGCUUGAAAGGUGCAAAUGCACCACUACCAGAUGGACCUGCGUUGUAUUAGCUAGUUGGUGAGGUAACGGCUCACCAAGGCAACGAUACAUAGCCGACCUGAGAGGGUGAUCGGCCACACUGGGACUGAGACACGGCCUAGACUCCUACGGGAGGCAGCAGUAGGGAAUCUUCGGCAAUGGACGGAAGUCUGACCGAGCAACGCCGCGUGAGUGAAGAAGGUUUUCGGAUCGUAAAGCUCUGUUGUAAGAGAAGAACGAGUGUGAGAGUGGAGAGUUCACACUGUGACGGUAUCUUACCAGAAAGGGACGGCUAACUACGUG
Molecule: ribosomal RNA, 512 nt
Filed under: uncultured Streptococcaceae bacterium
Lineage: Bacteria; Bacillati; Bacillota; Bacilli; Lactobacillales; Streptococcaceae
Description: bacterial SSU rRNA
Rfam family: Bacterial small subunit ribosomal RNA
Source: RNAcentral